UCCUCGUUAGUAUAGUGGACAGUAUCUCCGCCUGUCACGCCGAAGACCGGGGUUCGAUUCCCCGACGGGGAG
This 72-nucleotide transfer RNA is filed under the name Ameiurus melas (black bullhead). It matches the Rfam family "tRNA". Rfam says of the family: Transfer RNA (tRNA) molecules are approximately 80 nucleotides in length. Their secondary structure includes four short double-helical elements and three loops (D, anti-codon, and T loops). Further hydrogen bonds mediate the characteristic L-shaped molecular structure. tRNAs have two regions of fundamental functional importance: the anti-codon, which is responsible for specific mRNA codon recognition, and the 3' end, to which the tRNAs corresponding amino acid is attached (by aminoacyl-tRNA synthetases). tRNAs cope with the degeneracy of the genetic code in two manners: having more than one tRNA (with a specific anti-codon) for a particular amino acid; and 'wobble' base-pairing, i.e. permitting non-standard base-pairing at the 3rd anti-codon position. The record is from Rfam by way of RNAcentral. Lineage: Eukaryota; Metazoa; Chordata; Actinopteri; Siluriformes; Ictaluridae.